UGGCUGGUUUACUAGUCCGAAUUGUAGUUUAAAGAAGCGUUUUCGGUGGCAGCCUGGGUAUAAAUCCUUUGGAAUAGGGUAUCAUAGAGGGUGAGAAUCCCGUCUUUGACUCAGUGAAUGCUACUAUGUGAUACGUUUUCAAAGAGUCGAGUUGUUUGGGAAUGCAGCUCAAAAUGGGUGGUAAAUUUCAUCUAAAGCUAAAUAUUGGCGAGAGACCGAUAGCGAACAAGUACCGUGAGGGAAAGAUGAAAAGAACUUUGAAAAGAGAGUUAAACAGUACGUGAAAUUGUUGAAAGGGAAACGUUUGACACCAGUCAUGCGGGUGGAAAAUCAGUCUUUUAGAGUAGGGAGUGGUGGGGGUUCGGACCGCAAGGCUGGCCUUUAUCUCAUCUCUGCGCUAAUGGAUGCACUUUUUCAUUUGCAGGUCAACAUCAGUUUCUUCUGCUGGACAAAACUCCGAGAGAAGGUAGCAGCUUAGGCUGUGUUAUAGCUCUGGAGCGAUACAGUGGAGGGGACUGAGGUUUUCGCAGUGUGUGCUUUCGGGCAAGGUUGAUUGGGUGCUAUGUGAUCGUUCGGUGUACAAUGCAUGCAUUUUGCGCUGUGUCUUUUGCAUACUCGCCUGACUCGACUCUUCCACGCUUAGGAUGUUGACUUAAUGGUUUUAAACGACCCGUCUUGAAACACGGACCAAGGAGUCUAACAUAUAUGCAAGUGUUUGGGUGGCAAACCCAUACGCGUAAUGAAGGUGAACGUAGGUGCGAUCCGCAAGGUGCAGCAUCGACCGAUCUUGAUAUUUUUGGAUAGAUUUGAGUAAGAGCAUAUAUGCUGGGACCCGAAA
RNAcentral lists this ribosomal RNA (838 nucleotides) under uncultured fungus. RNAcentral's name for it is "eukaryotic LSU rRNA". It matches the Rfam family "Eukaryotic large subunit ribosomal RNA", at positions 123 to 821 of the family's 3401-position model. The record is from RNAcentral. Lineage: Eukaryota; Fungi.